This 255-nucleotide ribosomal RNA is filed under the name uncultured bacterium. RNAcentral's name for it is "partial 16S ribosomal RNA". It matches the Rfam family "Bacterial small subunit ribosomal RNA", at positions 793 to 1055 of the family's 1533-position model. The record is from RNAcentral.
GUCCACGCCGUAACGAUGUCUGCUAGCCGUUGGGAUCCUUGAGGUUCGGUGGCGCAGCUAACGCGAUAAGCAGACCGCCUGGGAGUACGGCCGCAAGGUUAACUCAAUGAAUUGACGGGCCCGCACAAGCGGUGGAGCAUGUGGUUUAAUUCGAUGCAACGCGAAGAACCUUACCAGGUCUUGACAUCCAGAGAACUUUCCAGAGAUGGAUUGGUGCCUUCGGGAACUCUGAGACAGGUGCUGCAUGGCUGUCGU